This 1269-nucleotide long non-coding RNA is filed under the name Bos indicus x Bos taurus (hybrid cattle). RNAcentral's name for it is "lncRNA (ENSBIXG00000012401.1)". Lineage: Eukaryota; Metazoa; Chordata; Mammalia; Artiodactyla; Bovidae. The record is from RNAcentral.
AUGGGCAGAGGACGCAGCGUCUUCAACUGUGACCUGGAGCCUGGGCCAGAAUGGAGGUCACAGGUAAGGAUGGGGGACCUGAGAGGCCUGGGGGUCCGGGUGAGAAAGAGGUCCCAGGCCUUACCUGAUGGGGCCAGGAGGAAAGUAGGCCUCCUGGAGCUGGACCCUGAGGGCCACAUGACGCUGUGCCAGGAUGGCUGCUGCUUGGGCUGCUCCCUUCUCAUCCCCACCCUCUACGGCCCGGGUCAGGCGCCCUGCCAGCUCUUCUGCAGGGGAAGAGAGAGCCAUCGCAACCCCACACUGGCUACUUCCCCCAGCCCCUCCGGCCACCUGCCUUUACCUUUCUCCAUCAAGUCUCCAGGGCUCCAAGGAAGAUCCACCUUGGGCUUGGGGGCCUUGGGUGUGGGCACUUCAAGGGGACUGGGCGGGGAGACAGGGCGCGUUUCUGGGCCUAGGGCUGGGGGCAAGCUGUCACUACCUAGGAGGAAAGAUGUGGGGUGGGCUGGUGGUCUCUUUGAGAUCUGGCCCCCCACGGAGUACACACCAAGGCCUCUGCUGUCUCACCUCAGGCUUCCAGUACCUUUGUCUCCUCCCUCCUUAGCUCAGCCCAGCCCAUGCCAGGGCCUUGCCUUGGCCCAGUCUUGGGCCUUGCACACCCCAGAGGUCCCUGCUGACUUCACUCAGAGUUGCACUUGGCUCUUUUUUGGGCUCUGGAGUCCUUCUGGCCUCCUUUGCUGCCCAGUCCCACCUGCAGCCCUCCUCCACAGGGGCUGGGCCACCUCUCUUGGCCUGUACAAGCCCUCUCAGCCAGCCAAGAAGCUCCCUGGGCCUCACAGCAGAACCAGCGGAAGUCUCCAGGAGUCCUGCAGUCAAGGUGGCCUCCUUCCAGGGAACUCCGACGUCUCUCCUGGCUCUGCCAUCAGCACAGAGCACUCUGGGCUGAUCCCAUUCCAAACAACCCCUCUCCAGCUGGUGCUUGCCCUGAGCGUGCAACCGGCUCCCUUUCUUACCUCCCACUUACGCCCUGCCCAUGUGGUGCAGAUGCAGUUCCUUUGCUUCAAUAUUCUGAGCCAUCUGCCCACUCACAUAAGCAGGGCUCCCGAGCACCCAGCACCAGGCCUGCCUGGACUCUCUAAGGCCUUGAAGGAGUGCUUACUACAGGUGCAGAAUACACAUGUGGUGAACCAACCAACCAAUGUAUGCAUGAAAGGCAAGUGUCUUUCUCCCUCCGCAGAUGCUGCUGUCUGGACCUCUCUUCCAUCUCACUAG